UGGGGAAUAUUGCACAAUGGAGGGAACUCUGAUGCAGCGACGCCGCGUGAAGGAUGAAGGUUUUCGGAUUGUAAACUUCUUUGACCGGGGAAGAGAUGGAGACGGUACCCGGAAAACAAGCCACGGCUAACUACGUGCCAGCAGCCGCGGUAAUACGUAGGUGGCGAGCGUUGUCCGGAAUUACUGGGUGUAAAGGGCGCGCAGGCGGUUAUAUAAGUCAGGUGUGAAAGCCCGUGGCUCAACUGCGGAACUGCAUCUGAAACUAUAUAUCUUGAGUGCCGGAGAGGAAAGCGGAAUUCCUGGUGUAGCGGUGAAAUGCGUAGAUAUCAGGAGGAACACCAGUGGCGAAGGCGGCUUUCUGGACGGCAACUGACGCUGAGGCGCGAAAGCGUGGGGAGCAAACAGGAUUAGAUACCCUGGUAGUCCACGCUGUAAACGAUGGAUACUAGGUGUAGGAGGUAUCGACCCCUUCUGUGCCGGAGUUAACACAAUAAGUAUCCCACCUGGGGAGUACGGCCGCAAGGCUA
RNAcentral lists this ribosomal RNA (527 nucleotides) under uncultured bacterium. RNAcentral describes it as "bacterial SSU rRNA". It matches the Rfam family "Bacterial small subunit ribosomal RNA", at positions 355 to 896 of the family's 1533-position model. The record is from RNAcentral.